This 104-nucleotide ribosomal RNA is filed under the name Mastacembelus armatus (zig-zag eel). Lineage: Eukaryota; Metazoa; Chordata; Actinopteri; Synbranchiformes; Mastacembelidae. The record is from RNAcentral.
AUUAGUGUAUUAGCGUGUUGUGGGCACUCUUGGAAGCUAAGCAGGGCCAUGCCUGGUUAGUACUUGGAUGGGAGACCAGCUUGGAAGACCAGGGGCCGCUAGCC